Non-coding RNA from Zalaria obscura, 83 nucleotides. The record is from the annotation of a GenBank genome assembly. Lineage: Eukaryota; Fungi; Ascomycota; Dothideomycetes; Dothideales; Zalariaceae.
UCCGAAAUGGUCUAGUGGCUAGGAUUUGUCGCUCUCAUUAUCAGAGGUCCGACAAGGCCGGGGUUCAAUUCCCCGUUUCGGAA